AGGUUAACCGUAUAGGGGAGCCGUAGGGAAACCGAGUCUUAACUGGGCGAAUGAGUUGCAGGGUAUAGACCCGAAACCCGGUGAUCUAUCCAUGGGCAGGUUGAAGGUUGGGUAACACUAACUGGAGGACCGAACCGACUAAUGUUGAAAAAUUAGCGGAUGACUUGUGGAUGGGGGUGAAAGGCCAAUCAAACCGGGAGAUAGCUGGUUCUCCCCGAAAGCUAUUUAGGUAGCGCCUCGUGAACUCAUCUUCGGGGGUAGAGCACUGUUUCGACUAGGGGGUCAUCCCGACUUACCAACUCGAUGCAAACUGCGAAUACCGAAGAAUGUUAUCACGGGAGACACACGGCGGGUGCUAACGUCCGUCGUGAAGAGGGAAACAACCCAGACCGCCAGCUAAGGUCCCAAAGUCAUGGUUAAGUGGGAAACGAAGUGGGAAGGCUCAGACAGCCAGGAUGUUGGCUUAGAAGCAGCCAUCAUUUAAAGAAAGCGUAAUAGCUCACUGGUCGAGUCGGCCCGCGCGGAAGAUGUAACGGGGCUAAACCAUGCACCGAAGCUGCGGCAGCGACAC
This 571-nucleotide ribosomal RNA is filed under the name Proteus mirabilis. Its description in RNAcentral is "partial 23S ribosomal RNA". It matches the Rfam family "Bacterial large subunit ribosomal RNA", at positions 643 to 1214 of the family's 2925-position model. Lineage: Bacteria; Pseudomonadati; Pseudomonadota; Gammaproteobacteria; Enterobacterales; Morganellaceae. The record is from RNAcentral.